Molecule: ribosomal RNA, 277 nt
Filed under: uncultured bacterium
Lineage: Bacteria
Description: partial 16S ribosomal RNA
Rfam family: Bacterial small subunit ribosomal RNA
Source: RNAcentral
GACGAACGCUGGCGGCGUGCCUAACACAUGCAAGUCGAGCGGUCGGAGGGGAGACCUUCCGGCAGCGGCAGACGGCUGAGUAACACGUGCGUGACCUACCCGCGCGUGGGGGAUAACCCUGGGAAACUGGGGCUAAUACCGCAUGAGCACCCUCUCGACGGGGGAGGGUGGAAAGCCGCAAGGCGCGUGCGGAGGGGCGCGCGGCCCAUCAGCUAGUUGGUGGGGGAAGGGCCCACCAAGGCGAGGACGGGUUGCUGGUCUGAGAGGACGGCCAGCC